GUGGAUGUAGACACAAUGGUGCAGCAGC
RNAcentral lists this small RNA (28 nucleotides) under Bombyx mori (domestic silkworm). Its description in RNAcentral is "ovarian small RNA-17906". Lineage: Eukaryota; Metazoa; Arthropoda; Insecta; Lepidoptera; Bombycidae. The record is from RNAcentral.